This 492-nucleotide ribosomal RNA is filed under the name uncultured bacterium. RNAcentral describes it as "partial 16S ribosomal RNA". It matches the Rfam family "Bacterial small subunit ribosomal RNA", at positions 29 to 507 of the family's 1533-position model. The record is from RNAcentral.
AGUGAACGCUGGCGGUAGGCCUAACACAUGCAAGUCGAACGGCAGCACAGUAAGAGCUUGCUCUUACGGGUGGCGAGUGGCGGACGGGUGAGGAAGACAUCGGAAUCUACUUUUUCGUGGGGGAUAACGUAGGGAAACUUACGCUAAUACCGCAUACGACCUACGGGUGAAAGCAGGGGAUCUUCGGACCUUGCGCGAUUGAAUGAGCCGAUGUCGGAUUGGCUAGUUGGCGGGGUAAAGGCCCAGCAAGGCGACGAUCCGUAGCUGGUCUGAGAGGAUGAUCAGCCACACUGGAACUGAGACACGGUCCAGACUCCUACAGGAGGCCGCAGUGCGGAAUAUUGGACGAUGGGCGCGAGCCUGAUCCAGCCAUACCGCCUGGGUGCAGAAGGCCUUCGGGUUGUAAAGCCAUUUUGUUGGGAAAGAAAAGCAGCAGGUUAAUACCCCGCUGUUCUGACGGUACCCAAAGAAUAAGCACCGGCUAACUUCGUG